This 492-nucleotide ribosomal RNA is filed under the name uncultured bacterium. RNAcentral describes it as "partial 16S ribosomal RNA". It matches the Rfam family "Bacterial small subunit ribosomal RNA", at positions 29 to 507 of the family's 1533-position model. The record is from RNAcentral.
AGUGAACGCUGGCGGUAGGCCUAACACAUGCAAGUCGAACGGCAGCACAGUAAGAGCUUGCUCUUACGAGUGGCGAGUGGCGGACGGGUGAGGAAUACAUCGGAAUCUACUUUUUCGUGGGGGAUAACGUAGGGAAACUUACGCUAAUACCGCAUACGACCUACGGGUGAAAGCAGGGGAUCUUCGGACCUUGCGCGAUUGAAUGAGCCGAUGUCGGAUUAGCUAGUUGGCGGGGUAAAGGCCCACCAAGGCGACGAUCCGUAGCUGGUCUGAGAGGAUGAUCAGCCACACUGGAACUGAGACACGGUCCAGACGCCUACGGGAGGCAGCAGUGGGGAAUAUUGGACAAUGGGCGCAAGCCUGAUCCAGCCAUACCGCGUGGGUGAAGAAGGCCUUCGGGUUGUAAAGCCCUUUUGUUGGGAAAGAAAAGCAGCAGGUUAAUACCCCGCUGUUCUGACGGUACCCAAAGAAUAAGCACCGGCUAACUUCGUG